AGCACUCUGGCGAAGGAGGGUAUCGCGUUGGGCUCAUAACCCAAAGGUCGUCGGAUCGAAACCGACGAGUGCUA
Molecule: non-coding RNA, 74 nt
Organism: Ustilago bromivora
Lineage: Eukaryota; Fungi; Basidiomycota; Ustilaginomycetes; Ustilaginales; Ustilaginaceae
Source: the annotation of a GenBank genome assembly